GAGAUGCUGCAACACAGAUGUGAGGCUGAAGCACAUUCCUUCAUCUUGGAGACCAAGAUAGACCGAAUGAGAAGGUUGAUUUUCAGAGCCCCUCAAUACUUCAGUGUGUGCUUAUGAGGCUGGACUCUCCAGCUGCAUAUCUAUCAGGAGUGGCUGGGGAGGUAAGUGUCAUGUUUUCACCAUGAUUCUUUACUGAUCUAUCCUGUGAGGUUUGGUUUCUCUGCUUUUAUAUAUGGCAGGAUAAAUUGGGAUAAAUCCUGAUAUUUUCUUUGUAAACAUGUACAAUUUUCUGUGCAAUCUCCCAAGGGAGCCAAUCACCUUUAAAAACCAAAUAAGAACAACCACUCUUACUACGGCCAUGUCUAAAUUAUGAUGUAAUAGCACAUGGAAAGUUCUAGAUUGAUACUAAAGAAGAAAAUGAUCCUUAAAUGUACCCAGUUUUUCAAACUUUUUGUUACUUGUUCCACACACAUGCCUAGCCCCUUCUCCAACUAGCUACUAUUUAUUUCACAUGUAACCACAUUCCAGCACCUUACUUAAUCCCUUUAGAUUUGUAGUUUAAUUCCACCCUUCCCAUGGUCUUAAAAUUAUCCUCAUGAUACAGAUAGUCAAACAGAAGCUGAGAGGUUGAGUAAUGUGCUUUUUAUCAUAAAGCUAGUAAUAAAGUCUUAAUAUUCAUCUUUCUAUCUCAAAAAUUUAUUUUCUUAAUCACUGUUCCAUUUUGCCUCCCUAAACCCCUAAUCUGUAACAAAACUUGAUACUGAUUUUUAUUUCCAAGUGUAAGACUUAUUUUAGACCUUAAAGAUCCAUUUCACUAGUGGCUACUCUAACAUAACUGCUGCUUCUCAAUGGUUUAUUCAGAAAUAUAAAAUCACCAGAUACAAAGUUUUGAAAAGUGAAUCUUGUAAGUGUACAUUUCAAAAUUGUACUUGGUAAUGAGCAAAAUUCUUUUAGGCCCAGUUUAGACAGUCCAAGGUAAAAUGUAUAUUGACAAUCAUCCACUCAAAUUUGAGAAUUAAGAUUAAAAGUAGAAAUAAGUGGAAUGAAGUCAUCUAAUGUACCAAGUUUCAAAUGGUGAGAAAAUGAUUUGCCAUCCAAAGGUUUGAAAAUAUUCCUUGAAAUACCCAUCUAUCAUUUGUGUUUUCUCCCUUGUGUUUAGU
Molecule: long non-coding RNA, 1160 nt
Filed under: Sus scrofa (pig)
Lineage: Eukaryota; Metazoa; Chordata; Mammalia; Artiodactyla; Suidae
Description: lncRNA (ENSSSCG00060009219.1)
Source: RNAcentral